ACCUGGGUGGCUCAGUCGGUUAAGCGUCUGACUUUAGCUCAGAUCAUGAUCUCACGGUUCGUGGGUUCCAGCCCCACGUCAGGCU
Molecule: transfer RNA, 85 nt
Filed under: Felis catus (domestic cat)
Lineage: Eukaryota; Metazoa; Chordata; Mammalia; Carnivora; Felidae
Rfam family: tRNA
About the family: Transfer RNA (tRNA) molecules are approximately 80 nucleotides in length. Their secondary structure includes four short double-helical elements and three loops (D, anti-codon, and T loops).
Source: Rfam by way of RNAcentral